UUUUCACAGCUUAUGUUUUGAAGUGCUUUAUCCAAAAGAACAUGGAACAAACAAAACACAGACAAAGUUGCUCUGGCAUAUAUCUCAGUUCGAAAGAUCAUUAAUUUGAAAAUAAUACAGCAGAAACCAGUAUGCCAAUAUGUCUUAACAAGUGAAUAUCAGAAAGCAAAGAAAUUAACAUAGCUAAUGACUAAGAAAAAAACAAAGGGUUGUUUGUAAAUAAUAAUUAAUAAAUAUUAAUAUCAUAAUGGUAAAUAGUAUACAUUAAAAUGUUAAUAGUAAAAAAAAUGACAAGAAUAAAAUAUUACUAAUAUUGCUGAUUUUCUGGAAUACUAAAUGGCAUUCGUCUCCUAAGCAUUUUUUUUUUUUGCAAGAAUUAGCAAUACUGAAUACCUCAAGGAUAAGAGAACACAACAAAAGUCAAACCACAGAAAGCAGUACUCUUGAUGUUUAAGAUCAUCUCAUCAGAACAGGCAUGAUUAGUCUCAGCAAAAUCCAAACACGAAGUCAAUCUGAUAGAAGGAAUAUCAAAUUAGAGAGGAGGGUGGAGACUCAACAGAGCAAUUACCAAUGGUUAGGAAGAGGGUGGUGUCUGCAAAUGGAGGGGCUAAGAGGUGACUAAGGCUCAUCUCCCCCACAAAAAUAACAAAAAUGAUAAACAACUAAUUACAAAAUGACAAAAACAGGGAAAACUAUGUUUCCCUAAAACAGGGAGAACUCUGGAGGACUAAGGAGCAGCAAAAACCCUGCAGAGCUAAAAAAAAAAAAAAAAAACAUGGGAAGGGCAGCCCCGGUGGCGCAGCGGUUUAGCGCCGCCUGCAGCCCAGGGUGUGAUCCUGGAGACCCUGGAUAGAGUCCCACAUCAGGCUCUCUGUAUGAUGCCUGCUUCUCCCUCUGCCUGUGUCUCUGCCUCUCUCUCUCUCUCUCUCUCUCUCUCUCUCUCUCUCUCUCUCUCUCUCUGUCUCUAUGAAUAAAUAAAUAAAAUCUUAAAAACAAAACAAAACAAAACAAAACAUGGGAAGCCAUCUGGAAAAGCACCGGAAGCAUUUUAGCUGUGUCACCUCCUCUUGGUACAGAGCAGCUGGGCACCAUGAGGGGUUCUCACAGAGAUUCACCUCAUGAGAAUGAGGAGAGGGAAACCCCAGCAAGCUUCACUGCUGUGGACGUUUUGCAGCCUUUGCUGCUGAAGACCUCACAGUCUUCACCAACACCAAUUCUAGCUGCUGUAUCUCCUCCUCCCCCAGAGGCCUGUUGUGGCUAUGCCCUACUCUCAGAGCUCUGGAUGCCACAGCACCUUGCCAUGUACAGGACCAGAGCUGCUAGUGCUCUGUGCUCUACCCACUGUGUUGCAACUUUGUCUCUGGGACACCUGUUGCUGCUCUGUGCCCUGCUCUCAAAAUCCCAGGUCACGCUUUCCCUGCCAGCACCGGGGUCAGGCUGCACUACUCAGAGAUGGGCCCCCACAGGUCCCAGAUCACGGCUCUGAAAUCACCAUAAUGGCUAAGCUUCCACUCUUCUGCAACCUUCCCCCUGGGUCCCAAGAUGUGGCUUUAGUGGGCCUCCACUAGGGAUGUGCUGCUGUGGCUGCUCUUCCAAGACUGCCUCCUGGGCCCAGAGUUAGAACUCAGACCCACCAUCCCUAUGCCAUGUUGCUACUGCACUCUACUCCCUUGGGCCCAAGCCACUCACUCCCGCACCCUGUCAUUAAGGGCCUGUGCUGCUGUGUCUCCCUCCCCACCACUCCACCUGAGUCACUGAAAGGAGCCCAACUAGCACCCUGGUUUCACAGAAGAUCAGCACAUACCUGCACCUCAGACACCAGUGCUACUGCCAAGUGCACCCCUGCCCACAGACCCAGUUGCUGUGGUGGUUCCAUAUCCAUGAUCCCAAGACUCCACUCUACUCCUGCUCAGAGUGCCAGGAUGGCAGACCAAGUGCCAGGAGGUAUCCCCUCAGCUAGAAGGGACAGCUUCUCCCAUGGGCAAAAUGGGGGAACUGAAGGACUCCAGGAGCCUUUUCCUCUAAGGAUCCCAAUAGCCCUCACCACCACUGCCACCCACAGGACCUCUGCAGUCUUGGCCACAGAAGACCCCUUCAGGUCUGUACCAACACUGACCUUGGCUAAUAGGGCUGCACAGAGAGUAAGCCGCUGUGUUUUCCCAGGAACCAAAGAUACUGCACCCCAGCCAGCCAGGGCUCUCACAGCCAGCUUCAGGUGAAAGUUUCCCACCAAAGCCAAAGCCAGGCCAAAAAAAAAGCUGGAAGAGGUCACUGCUCCCGCAAAAUGUACAGACAUCAAUGCAAAGCCAUCAGAAACAAGAAAAAGCAUGGAAAGAAGAUACCACCAAAGGAACACAAUAAUUUUCCUGUAACUGAGCACCCAAAAUUAUAGAUCUGAGUUACCUGAAAAAGAAUUCAAAAUAAUCAUUUUAAGGAAGCUCAGCAAGAUUCAAGAGAACAUAAAUAGGUAACUCAAUGAACUCAGGAAAGCAACACAUGAACAAAAGUUUGAAAGAGAUGGGAAUCAUAAAAAAGAACCAAACAGAAACUCUGGAGCUGAAGAAUACAGUAGUCACUUGUUUUGCUUUCCACGGUUUCAAUUAUCUGUGGUGAACUGUAGUCCAAAAAUAGGGAACAGAAAAUUCCAGAAACAAGUAAUUCCUAAGUUUUACAUCGUGCCCUGAAUGGCAUGAUGAAAUCUCAAGCUGUCCUGCUCCACCCUAUUGAAGGCAUGAAUCAUCCCACUGUCCAGCAUAUUCACAUGGCACAAACUACCCGCCCACUAGUCACCGAGUAGCCACCUCCUUUAUCAGAUGGGCUGUUGUGGUUUUGAGGUGCUUGUGUCUAAGUAACCCUUAUUUUAUGAAAUAACAGCCCCUAAGGGCAGGACUGGCAAAUCAGAGAAGCUAAAGAAAAGCCUUAAGAUGCUUCUCGGUGAAAAGUAAAGUUUUCGACUUAACAAGAAAAAAAAAUCGUAGGCUGAGGCUGCUAAGAUCUCCAGUAAGAAUUAAUCUUCCACCCAUAAAUUUGUGAAGAAGGAAAAAGAAAUCUGUGCUAGUUUUGCUGUUGCACCUCAAACUGCAGAAGUUACAGGCACAGUGUAUGAUAAGUGCUUAGUUAAGAUGGAAAAGGCAUCAAAUUUAUGGGUGGAGGACAUGAACACAAAAUGUUUUGACUGAUGGCAGCAUGUUGUGCCAGCAUGUUGUGCUUUAUUUACUGAGCCUGUAAAGGCUUCAGGAGACCUGGAGGAUGAGGAGCCUCUGGCUCUGAGGAUCCCAAUGGCCCUUGCCACCACUGCCACACCCAGGACCUCUGCAGAGACAGUGGGAGCUUGGCCCCUCCAAUGAUGGGGGAUCUCCUAAAACAAGUGAUGCCAAGCCAUUUACCACAAGUAACAGAUGGUUAUUACAUAGAUUCAAGAAUAAGUUUGGACUAAAAAACAUAAAAACUACUGGAAAGACUAUGACUAACAAUGAAGAAGGUGUUGCUACAUGUUUGGUAGAGUUGAAAAAGUUGAUUAAAGAGAAAGGAUACUUGGGGCACAUGGAUGGCUCAAUAAAGCUCCGACUCCUGAUUUUGGCUUAGGUCAUGAUCUUAGAGUCAUGAGAUUGAGCCCAGCAUCGGGCUCCAUGCUGGGUGUAGAGCCUGCUUAAGAUUCUUGCUCUUACUCUCCCUCUGCCCCUACCCUCCCCACCAAAAAAGAGAAAGGAUACCACCAUCCAAAGCAAGUCUUCAACUGCAAUGAAAUCAGGCUCUUCUGGAAGAAGAUGCCCAAUAGAACAUACCUUCAUAAAAGUGCAAGAGGGGUACCAGGGCAGAAAACAUAAGACAAGUUAACUCCUACUAUGUGUUAACAUUUGUGCAAGGCAUAGGAUAAUCCCACGCAGAGCGUACAAAGCAAAGAACCCGUGCGCUCUCAAAAACGAAAACAAAAAUUAUCUGCCCAUGUUCUGGCAACAUAAUCAGAAAGCAUGGUGACAGCUAUCUUUUCUCUGGAAUGGUUCCACCAGUGCUUCAUCCUGAAAGAGAAAAAAUACUUGGAAGAGCAAGGGUUGGAAUUUAAAGUCCUAUUAAUAACAGUGCCAGUACCUGGCCAUCUUGAAUGUUUGCUAUGAAAAUGAAAAUGUUGAAGUUACAUUUUAACCUCCAAAUACCUCACUGCUUCAGCCCCAUGGCCAGGGCAUCAUUUGCUUUAUGAAAGCCACAUACAGGGAUCCCUGGGUGGCGCAGCGGUUUAGCGCCUGCCUUUGGCCCAGGGCGUGAUCCUGUAGACCCGGGAUCGAAUCCCACGUCGGGCUCCCGGUGCAUGGAGCCUGCUUCUCCCUCUGCCUGUGUCUCUGCCUCUCUCUCUCUCUCUGUGACUAUCAUAAAUAAAUAAAAAUUAAAAAAAAAAAAAAAAAAAAAA
RNAcentral lists this long non-coding RNA (4405 nucleotides) under Canis lupus familiaris (dog). Its description in RNAcentral is "lncRNA (ENSCAFG00845012982.1)". Lineage: Eukaryota; Metazoa; Chordata; Mammalia; Carnivora; Canidae. The record is from RNAcentral.